GCGCCUAUAGCUCAGCUGGAUAGAGCAUUUGCCUUCUAAGCAAAGGGUCGGGGGUUCGAGUCCUCCUGGGCGCGCCA
RNAcentral lists this transfer RNA (77 nucleotides) under Magnetococcales bacterium. RNAcentral describes it as "tRNA-Arg". It matches the Rfam family "tRNA". Rfam says of the family: Transfer RNA (tRNA) molecules are approximately 80 nucleotides in length. Lineage: Bacteria; Pseudomonadati; Pseudomonadota; Magnetococcia; Magnetococcales. The record is from RNAcentral.